GAUGAACGUUAGCGGGAGGCCUAACACAUGCAAGCCGAGCGGUAUUGUUUCUUCGGAAAUGAGAGAGCGGCGUACGGGUGCGGAACACGUGUGCAACCUGCCUUUAUCUGGGGGAUAGCCUUUCGAAAGGAAGAUUAAUACUCCAUAAUAUAUUGAACGGCAUCGUUUAAUAUUGAAAGCUCCGGCGGAUAGAGAUGGGCACGCGCAAGAUUAGCUAGUUGGUGAGGUAACGGCUCACCAAGGCGAUGAUCUUUAGGGGGCCUGAGAGGGUGAUCCCCCACACUGGUACUGAGACACGGACCAGACUCCUACGGGAGGCAGCAGUGAGGAAUAUUGGUCAAUGGGUGCAAGCCUGAACCAGCCAUCCCGCGUGAAGGACGACUGCCCUAUGGGUUGUAAACUUCUUUUGUAUAGGGAUAAACCUACCCUCGUGAGGGUAGCUGAAGGUACUAUACGAAUAAGCACCGGCUAACUCCGUGCCAGCAGCCGCGGUAAUACGGAGGGUGCAAGCGUUAUCCGGAUUUAUUGGGUUUAAAGGGUCCGUAGGCGGACUUAUAAGUCAGUGGUGAAAGCCUGUCGCUUAACGAUAGAACUGCCAUUGAUACUGUAAGUCUUGAGUAUAUUUGAGGUAGCUGGAAUAAGUAGUGUAGCGGUGAAAUGCAUAGAUAUUACUUAGAACACCAAUUGCGAAGGCAGGUUACCAAGAUAUAACUGACGCUGAGGGACGAAAGCGUGGGGAGCGAACAGGAUUAGAUACCCUGGUAGUCCACGCCGUAAACGAUGCUAACUCGUUUUUGGGCUUUAGGGUUCAGAGACCAAGCGAAAGUGAUAAGUUAGCCACCUGGGGAGUACGCUCGCAAGAGUGAAACUCAAAGAAAUUGACGGGGGCCCGCACAAGCGGUGGAUUAUGUGGUUUAAUUCGAUGAUACGCGAGGAACCUUACCAAGACUUAAAUGGGAAUUGACAGCUUUAGAAAUAGAGCUUUCUUCGGACAAUUUUCAAGGUGCUGCAUGGUUGUCGUCAGCUCGUGCCGUGAGGUGUUAGGUUAAGUCCUGCAACGAGCGCAACCCCUGUCACUAGUUGCCAUCAUUCAGUUGGGGACUCUAGUGAGACUGCCUACGCAAGUAGAGAGGAAGGUGGGGAUGACGUCAAAUCAUCACGGCCCUUACGUCUUGGGCCAAACACGUAAUACAAUGGCCGGUACAGAGGGCAGCUACACAGCGAUGUGAUGCAAAUCUCGAAAGCCGGUCUCAGUUCGGAUUGGAGUCUGCAACUCGACUCUAUGAAGCUGGAAUCGCUAGUAAUCGCGCAUCAGCCAUGGCGCGGUGAAUACGUUCCCGGGCCU
RNAcentral lists this ribosomal RNA (1345 nucleotides) under uncultured bacterium. Its description in RNAcentral is "bacterial SSU rRNA". It matches the Rfam family "Bacterial small subunit ribosomal RNA", at positions 28 to 1381 of the family's 1533-position model. The record is from RNAcentral.